RNAcentral lists this ribosomal RNA (486 nucleotides) under uncultured bacterium. RNAcentral's name for it is "partial 16S ribosomal RNA". It matches the Rfam family "Bacterial small subunit ribosomal RNA", at positions 30 to 507 of the family's 1533-position model. The record is from RNAcentral.
AUUGAACGCUGGCGGCAUGCCUUACACAUGCAAGUCGAACGGCAGCACGGGUGCUUGCACCUGGUGGCGAGUGGCGAACGGGUGAGUAAUACAUCGGAACAUGUCCUGUAGUGGGGGAUAGCCCGGCGAAAGCCGGAUUAAUACCGCAUACGAUCCACGGAUGAAAGCGGGGGACCUUCGGGCCUCGCGCUAUAGGGUUGGCCGAUGGCUGAUUAGCUAGUUGGUGGGGUAAAGGCCUACCAAGGCGACGAUCAGUAGCUGGUCUGAGAGGACGACCAGCCACACUGUGACUGAGACACGGCCCAGACUCCUACGGGAGGCAGCAGUGGGGAAUUUUGGACAAUGGGCGAAAGCCUGAUCCAGCAAUGCCGCGUGUGUGAAGAAGGCCUUCGGGUUGUAAAGCACUUUUGUCCGGAAAGAAAUCCUUGGCUCUAAUACAGUCGGGGGAUGACGGUACCGGAAGAAUAAGCACCGGCUAACUACGUG